GACGAACGCUGGCGGCGUGCUUAACACAUGCAAGUCGAACGGUAAGGCCCUUCGGGGUACACGAGUGGCGAACGGGUGAGUAACACGUGGGUGAUCUGCCCUGCACUUCGGGAUAAGCCUGGGAAACUGGGUCUAAUACCGGAUAGGACCCUGGGAUGCAUGUCCUGGGGUGGAAAGCUUUUGCGGUGUGGGAUGGGCCCGCGGCCUAUCAGCUUGUUGGUGGGGUGAUGGCCUACCAAGGCGACGACGGGUAGCCAGCCUGAGAGGGUGACCGGCCACACUGGGACUGGGAUACGGCCCAGACUCCUACGGGAGGCAGCAGUGGGGAAUAUUGCACAAUGGGCGCAAGCCUGAUGCAGCGACGCCGCGUGAGGGAUGACGGCCUUCGGGUUGUAAACCUCUUUCAGCACCGACGAAGCGCAAGUGACGGUAGGUGCAGAAGAAGGACCGGCCAACUACGUGCCAGCAGCCGCCGUAA
This 478-nucleotide ribosomal RNA is filed under the name uncultured bacterium. RNAcentral describes it as "partial 16S ribosomal RNA". It matches the Rfam family "Bacterial small subunit ribosomal RNA", at positions 28 to 523 of the family's 1533-position model. The record is from RNAcentral.